RNAcentral lists this ribosomal RNA (477 nucleotides) under uncultured bacterium. RNAcentral describes it as "bacterial SSU rRNA". It matches the Rfam family "Bacterial small subunit ribosomal RNA", at positions 328 to 793 of the family's 1533-position model. The record is from RNAcentral.
UCAGUCGACUCCUACGGGGAGGCAGCAGUGGGGAAUAUUGCACAAUGGGGGAAACCCUGAUGCAGCCAUGCCGCGUGUGUGAAGAAGGCCUUCGGGUUGUAAAGCACUUUCAGUAGGGAGGAAGGUAGUGUAGUUAACACCUGCAUUAUUUGACGUUACCUACAGAAGAAGCACCGGCUAACUCCGUGCCAGCAGCCGCGGUAAUACGGAGGGUGCGAGCGUUAAUCGGAAUUACUGGGCGUAAAGCGCAUGCAGGCGGCCUGUUAAGUCAGAUGUGAAAGACCCGGGGCUUAACCUCGGAAUUGCAUUUGAAACUGGCAGGCUAGAGUCUUGUAGAGGGGGGUAGGAAUUUCAGGUGUAGCGGUGAAAAUGCGUAGAGAUCUGAAGGAAUACCAGUGGCGAAGGCGGCCCCCUGGACAAAGACUGACGCUCAGAUGCGAAAGCGUGGGGAGCAAACAGGAUUAGAUACCCUGGUAG